Molecule: ribosomal RNA, 468 nt
Filed under: uncultured bacterium
Lineage: Bacteria
Description: partial 16S ribosomal RNA
Rfam family: Bacterial small subunit ribosomal RNA
Source: RNAcentral
GACGAACGCUGGCGGCGUGCUUAACACAUGCAAGUCGAACGGAAAGGCCCUGCUUUUGUGGGGUGCUCGAGUGGCGAACGUGUGAGUAACACGUGAGUAACCUGCCCUUGACUUUGGGAUAACUUCAGGAAACUGGGGCUAAUACCGGAUAGGAUCUCCUGCUGCCUGGUGGGGGUUGGAAAUUUUCGGCGGUUGGGGAUGGACUCGCGGCUUAUCAGCUUGUUGGUGGGGUAGUUGCUUACCAAGGCUUUGACGGGUAGCCGGACUGAGAGGGUGACCGGACAAAUUGGGACUGAGAUACGGCACAGACUCCUACGGGAGGCAGCAGUGGGGAAUAGUGCACAAUGGGCGGAAGCCUGAUGCAGCAACGCCGCGUGCGGGAUGACGGCCUUCGGGUUGUAAACCGCUUUCGCCUGUGACGAAGCGUGAGUGACGGUAAUGGGUAAAGAAGCACCGGCUAACUACGUG